GACGAACGCUGGCGGCGUGCCUAAUACAUGCAAGUCGAGCGAACAGACGAGGAGCUUGCUCCUCUGACGUUAGCGGCGGACGGGUGAGUAACACGUGGAUAACCUACCUAUAAGACGGGGAUAACUUCGGGAAACGGGAGCUAAUACCGGAUAAUAUAUUGAACCGCAUGGUGCAUUAGUGAAAGACGGCUUUGCUGUAACUUAUAGAGGGAUCCCGGCCGCUUUGGCUAGUUGGGAGGGAAACGGCCUCCCAAGGGAAGGAUGCGUACCCGACGGGAAGGGGUGAUCGGCCCCCCUGGACCUGGACCACGCUCAAGACUCCUCCGGGAGGCCGCAGAGGGGAAUCUUCGGCAAUGGGCGAAAGCCUGCCGGAGCAACGCCGCGUGAGUGAUGAAGGUCUUCGGUUCGUAAGACUCUUUUUUUAGGGAGAAACAGAUUUGUAAGUAACUAUGCACGUCUUGACGGUACCUAAUCAGAAAGCCACGGCUAACUACGUG
RNAcentral lists this ribosomal RNA (497 nucleotides) under uncultured bacterium. Its description in RNAcentral is "partial 16S ribosomal RNA". It matches the Rfam family "Bacterial small subunit ribosomal RNA", at positions 28 to 507 of the family's 1533-position model. The record is from RNAcentral.